GGCCUAUUAGCUCAGUUGAUUAGAGCGUCGUGCUAAUAACGCGAAUGUCACAGGAUCGAGAGCUGCAUGGGCCC
Molecule: transfer RNA, 74 nt
Filed under: Olea europaea subsp. europaea
Lineage: Eukaryota; Viridiplantae; Streptophyta; Magnoliopsida; Lamiales; Oleaceae
Description: tRNA.Ile
Rfam family: tRNA
About the family: Transfer RNA (tRNA) molecules are approximately 80 nucleotides in length.
Source: RNAcentral